GAAAAUUUUGUAAAAAAUAAUAGUAUAAAAUAUUAGAAAUACGUACGUACAUGUACAAAACGACUAUUGUAUGUUUGCUUUUUAAAAAAAACGUGAGACGUGUAUAGAACACGAAUGUAUUGUUGAAAAAUACGUUCCUAUAUAUGUGUGUAUGUACAUAUAUAUGAACACGUAUGUAAAAGAAUAUAGCCGCUCGUCUAUACUAUAUAUUAAAUUCAAUUUAUAAAAUAAAAAAAGUAACGCCUCCCGCCUCUGCUAUAUUUUGUUAUAUACAAAAUUCAAAAAAAAAAAAAAAACAAAAGAGUAGAGCCGUGCGGCUAUACUAUUUUUAAAUACAAAAAAAGUCCCCAACCAAUAGGGGCCACGUGUCUUUUUCAAAAAAAAUUCAAAACAGCGUAUAGCCGUGCGGCUAUACUAUUUUUAAAUAUAAAAAAAGACCCCCAGCCAUUAUGCCCACGUGUCAACACAUAUAUUUCUUUAAAAAAAUAUUCAAAACAGAGUAUAGCCGUGCGGCUAUACUAUUUUUAAAUAUAAAAAAAGUCCCCCAGCCAACAGCGACACGUGUCAACACAUUAAAAUUCAAAACAGAGUAUAGCCGUGCGGCUAUACUAUUUUUAAAUAUAAAAAAGACCCCAGCCAUUAUGCCCACGUGUCAACACAUACAUUUCUUUUAAAAAAAAUUCCAAACCGAGUAUAGCCGUGCGGCUAUACUAUUUUUAAAUAGAAAAUAAGACCCCAGCCAUUAUGCCCACGUGUCAAGACAUACAUUUCUUUUAAAAAAAUUCCAAACCGAGUCUAGCCGUGCGGCUCUACGAUUUUUAAAUAUAAAAAAAGUCCCCCAGCCAACAGGGGCCACGUGUCAACACAUUAAAAUUCAAAACAGAGUAUCGCCGUGCGGCUAUACUAUUUUUAAAUAUAAAAAAGACCCCAGCCAUUAUGCCCACGUGUCAACACAUACAUUUCUUUUAAAAAAAAUUCCAAACCGAGUAUAGCCGUUCGGCUCUACUAUUUUUAAAUAUAAAAAAAGAUCCCCA
Molecule: long non-coding RNA, 1034 nt
Filed under: Prunus persica (peach)
Lineage: Eukaryota; Viridiplantae; Streptophyta; Magnoliopsida; Rosales; Rosaceae
Description: long non-coding RNA (PPER_LNC005459)
Source: RNAcentral